RNAcentral lists this transfer RNA (74 nucleotides) under Patescibacteria group bacterium. Its description in RNAcentral is "tRNA-Pro". It matches the Rfam family "tRNA". From Rfam's summary of the family: Transfer RNA (tRNA) molecules are approximately 80 nucleotides in length. Their secondary structure includes four short double-helical elements and three loops (D, anti-codon, and T loops). Further hydrogen bonds mediate the characteristic L-shaped molecular structure. tRNAs have two regions of fundamental functional importance: the anti-codon, which is responsible for specific mRNA codon recognition, and the 3' end, to which the tRNAs corresponding amino acid is attached (by aminoacyl-tRNA synthetases). tRNAs cope with the degeneracy of the genetic code in two manners: having more than one tRNA (with a specific anti-codon) for a particular amino acid; and 'wobble' base-pairing, i.e. permitting non-standard base-pairing at the 3rd anti-codon position. The record is from RNAcentral. RNAcentral also lists the same sequence under 1 other name.
CGGGGAUUAGCUCAGAUGGCUAGAGCGCCUGGUUUGGGACCAGGAGGUCGCGAGUUCGAGUCCCGCAUCCCCGA